CAUGUUAGUCGAGGGUGCUUCUUCUUCGGAAGAAGUAACCCGGCGGACGGCUCAGUAACACGUGGAUAACUUGCCCUUGGGUCUGGGAUAACCCCUGAGAAAUUGGGGACAAUACCGGAUAGGGCAUCGAUAGCUGGAAUGCGCGAUGUCCAAAAGCUGAGGCGCCCAAGGAUAGGUCUGCGGCCGAUUAGGUUGUUGUUGUUGAUGUAAUGGAUCAACAAGCCUGCAAUCGGUACGGGUUGUGAGAGCAAGAGCCCGGAGAUGGGUUCUGAGAAAAGAGCCCAGGUCCUACGGGACGCAUCAGGCGCGAAAACUUUACAAUGUGCGAAAGCACGAUAAGGGAACUCUGAGUGCCUCCUAUGGAGGCUGUUCAGGUGUCUAAAAAGCACUUGAAGUAAGGGCUGGGUAAGACCGGUGCCAGCCGCCGCGGUAACACCGGCAGCCCAAGUGGUAGCCACGAUUAUUGGGUCUAAAGCGUCCGUAGCCGGCCAGGUAAGUUCUUUGGGAAAUUUAACCGCUCAACGGUUAAGCUUUCAGGGAAUACUGCUUGGCUUGGGACCGGGAGAGGUCAGAGGUACUUCAAGGGUAGGGGUGAAAUCCGUUAAUCCUUGAGGGACCACCAGUAGCGAAGGCGUCUGACCAGACCGGGUCCGACGGUGAGGGACGAAGGCUAGGGUCGCGAACCGGAUUAGAUACCCGGGUAGUCCUAGCUGUAAACGAUGCGGGCCAGGUGUUGGCAUUACUGCGAGUGAUGUCAGUGCCGAAGGGGAGCCGUUAAGCCCGCCAUCUGGGGAGCACGGUCGCAAGGCUGAAACUUAAAGGAAUUGGCGGGGGAGCACCACAACGGGUGGAGCCUGCGGUUCAAUUGGAUCAACGCCGGA
This 881-nucleotide ribosomal RNA is filed under the name uncultured archaeon. Its description in RNAcentral is "bacterial SSU rRNA". It matches the Rfam family "Archaeal small subunit ribosomal RNA", at positions 50 to 922 of the family's 1478-position model. The record is from RNAcentral.